Alligator mississippiensis (American alligator) is the source of this 1790-nucleotide long non-coding RNA. RefSeq lists it as uncharacterized. Lineage: Eukaryota; Metazoa; Chordata; Crocodylia; Alligatoridae. The transcript has 6 exons. The record is from RefSeq and is a predicted model, not a curated record.
AGCAACAUAUAUGAGACAGAACAGUCUAACAAGGAAUAACGUGUCUUUAUGUUGCAUGAAGCAUUUUUCUGACACUGACAAGGUUUCACACUAUGAUCUUAGAAUCAAGAUCCUAAAAGUGGCCACAUUUUUAAAGACGCUAAACAGCUACAGCUCUCAUGGAUUUACUGGUUCCAGGACUCCUGAAUCCCUAUCUACAUAGUGGCUUAGCUUCAAUAGGAGAGUGGGGGAUUGUCCUCGGCUGUGCCUGCCCCAUAGCUAGGACUAUCAACUAAUGCAGAAAAGCUCAUGAAGAAUCUCUUCUAAGCCCCAACAAAGUGGAACAAGUGAAAGGGUACUACGGUACAAGGGGGCCAUUUGAUAACUGCAUGCACCUCCCUUUCAUCCUCAAAUAGAAAUAAUCUGAGGCAGAGCUAAAAGGUUUAUUACACGCAGAGAAUUUUCCUGGAGUUCUGCACAAAAUUUGCUGAAAGCCGCAAAAGUUUGCAGUGUUUUUUUCAAAGGCUGGAAAUAAUCUUCCUGUGAUGGGAUGGAUUACAUUUCUAUGGGGCAAGGAAUAAGGAUUUGAAUGAGGACUCUGGGUGGCCAUUUUAAGAUUGUUUUGAAGUCAAUUAUCUCUAAUUAUGUUUGCCUGAUAGAAACAGGCCAAUCUGAAAUGCCCUGGAACCUCAUCAACCACCCAAUUGCUGGCAUGAGACCAAGAGGACAAUUGCCUGCUGUGCCUCAGACCAAGAAACUCACUCUGAAACACCUGUUCAAGAAACUGAAUUGCAGAAAAAGAAUGGGUUGGCCAGAGGGUGAAGAAACUAUCUUUGAUCCAUCUUCAAGAUUUCUUUCUUAAGGUCCAUGUUUCUUUUCAUAUUUUUGUUAAAAACUGUAUUUAUCAUCAGGCAUGUGGCGUUUUGGGCUGUUUUAGUUACCCUCUCCUGUUAGCAUGUUACCAUUGCUGCUUUCUGUACUAGCAACAUCCAGAAGAUUACUCAGUUAGGCUUUGCAUUCAAAGAAAAUAUUACAGGAAUAAUAUCAAUGUCAUCAUCUCCUUUCACUUGUAAUGCCCCUAAGAAAUGUGUUUAGAAAAACUAUUACAGAUUCCAGUGUUGGGGCCUCUCUUAUUUUUCUGUCUGGGAUAUAAAAACCUCCUACUAGAGAAAGAAGAUUCCAACUGGAAUGAGAUUAUAAUGCAAUGAUCUGGUUCAAAACAUUUUGCCAUGAUUUUAGCAGCAUGCUAGGAGCUCCCUCUGCUCCUGGGCUUAAUUAAAUUUGAACUUCUUAUAUGGUUCAGCACAAUUUUUGGAAGUCCACCAAUAAGUAUGGGAGGUUUGUAGUUGAGACAAAGGGUUCGUUUGCCAGGGUCUGAAUCUCUUGAGGGAAGCUAACUGCAGGCCCAGAUCAUUUCUUUUCAUUGGAUGUAAAACAGCUUUGCUCAUAGCUGAGUUUGCUAGUAAUGGCAGCUUAUGACAGAACUGUAUCCUUCCAGCAAUAAUUAUACCAGAAAUUAUCCAGCAAUGACUGUAGGUGUGUAUCCACUCAGUAGUUCUUUGCCACUAUGUAAAAAAGCAUUCAAGAAUGGGUACUUGACUUUAGCAGUGUCUUUAAAUAUGGAAAGCCACCUAUUUAGUAAAAAUUGCAUACUAACCCUUUCAGAUACUAUUUCAUAUCAAAUUGUGAUAUGUAGAUAUUAUGCUGAAAUAAAAAAAGUGUGUACCUGCAUACAACUGCUUGUUCUAUUUUUCAGGCUAACAGCUUAGCUGUAACAUUUGUGCAUUAGCUAAAUAACAUCUCAAGGGGAG